Molecule: ribosomal RNA, 643 nt
Filed under: uncultured bacterium
Lineage: Bacteria
Description: bacterial SSU rRNA
Rfam family: Bacterial small subunit ribosomal RNA
Source: RNAcentral
CGCGGCCUAUCAGCUUGUUGGUGGGGUAGUGGCCUACCGAGGCGACGACGGGUAGCCGGCCUGAGAGGGUGACCGGCCACACUGGGACUGAGACACGGCCCAGACUCCUACGGGAGGCAGCAGUGGGGAAUAUUGCGCAAUGGGCGGAAGCCUGACGCAGCGACGCCGCGUGGGGGAUGACGGCCUUCGGGUUGUAAACCUCUUUCAGCAGGGACGAAGCGAGAGUGACGGUACCUGCAGAAGAAGCACCGGCCAACUACGUGCCAGCAGCCGCGGUAAUACGUAGGGUGCAAGCGUUGUCCGGAAUUAUUGGGCGUAAAGAGCUCGUAGGCGGUUUGUUGCGUCGGCUGUGAAAUCCCGAGGCUCAACCUCGGGUCUGCAGUCGAUACGAGCAAACUAGAGUGUUGCAGGGGAGACUGGAAUUCCUGGUGUAGCGGUGAAAUGCGCAGAUAUCAGGAGGAACACCGGUGGCGAAGGCGGGUCUCUGGGCAACAACUGACGCUGAGGAGCGAAAGCGUGGGGAGCGAACAGGAUUAGAUACCCUGGUAGUCCACGCCGUAAACGUUGGGCGCUAGGUGUGGGGCUCAUUCCACGAGUUCCGUGCCGCAGCUAACGCAUUAAGCGCCCCGCCUGGGGAGUACGG